GACGAACGCUGGCGGCGUGCCUAACACAUGCAAGUCAACUUGACUGAAGGAGCAAUCUGACAGUAGAGUGGCGCAAGGGUGCGUAACGCGUAAGUAACUUGCCCCAAGGUAAGGAAUAACGUCGAGAAAUCGGCGCUAAUACCUCAUAAUGCAGCGGAUCCGCAUGGAUAUGUUGUUAAAGGUUUACCGCCUUGGGAUAGGCUUGCGUCUGAUUAGUUAGUUGGUGUGGUAACGGCACACCAAGGCUACGAUCAGUAACUGGUCUGAGAGGAUGAUCAGUCACACUGGAACUGAGACACGGUCCAGACUCCUACGGGAGGCAGCAGUGAGGAAUAUUGGGCAAUGCUCGAAAGAGUGACCCAGCAACGCCGCGUGGAGGAUGAAGGUAUUCUAUAUCGUAAACUCCUGUGAGAGCAGACGAAAGACAGAUUAUAAUCUGGAUGACUGUAUGCUCAGAGGAAGCCCCGGCUAACUACGUG
Molecule: ribosomal RNA, 479 nt
Filed under: uncultured bacterium
Lineage: Bacteria
Description: bacterial SSU rRNA
Rfam family: Bacterial small subunit ribosomal RNA
Source: RNAcentral